Molecule: ribosomal RNA, 508 nt
Filed under: uncultured bacterium
Lineage: Bacteria
Description: partial 16S ribosomal RNA
Rfam family: Bacterial small subunit ribosomal RNA
Source: RNAcentral
GAUGAACGCUAGCUACAAGCUUAACACAUGCAAGUCGAGGGGAAACGACAUCGAAAGCUUGCUUUUGAUGGGUGUCGACCGGCGCACGGGUGAGUAACGCGUAUCCAACCUGCCCACCACUUGGGGAUAACCUUGCGAAAGUAAGACUAAUACCCAAUGAUAUCUCUAGAAGACAUCUGAAAGAGAUUAAAGAUUUAUCGGUGAUGGAUGGGGAUGCGUCUGAUUAGCUUGUUGGCGGGGUAACGGCCCACCAAGGCUGCGAUCAGUAGGGGUUCUGAGAGGGAGGUCCCCCACAUUGGAACUGAGACACGGUCCAAACUCCUACGGGAGGCAGCAGUGAGGAAUAUUGGUCAAUGGGCGAGAGCCUGAACCAGCCAAGUAGCGUGCAGGAUGACGGCCCUAUGGGUUGUAAACUGCUUUUAUAAGGGAAUAAAGUGAGCCUCGUGAGGCUUUUUGCAUGUACCUUAUGAAUAAGGACCGGCUAAUUCCGUGCCAGCCGCCGCCGUAA